GGAACCCGUGUCCUAGAGGUGGGGGUGCCCGAAAGGGAGCCGUAACACAGGUGCUGCAUGGCUGUCGUCCGCUCGUGUCGUGAGAUGUUGGGUUAAGUCCCGCAACGAGCGCAACCCUUGUCCCCAGUUGCUACGCAAGAGCACUCCGGGGAGACUGCCGGUGACAAACCGGAGGAAGGUGGGGAUGACGUCAAGUCCUCAUGGCCCUUAUGGGUAGGGCUUCACACGUCAUACAAUGGUCGGAACAGAGGGUUGCGAAGCCGCGAGGUGGAGCCAAUCCCAGAAAACCGAUCGUAGUCCGGAUUGCAGUCUGCAACUCGACUGCAUGAAGCUGGAAUCGCUAGUAAUCGCGGAUCAGCAUGCCGCGGUGAAUACGUUCCCGGGUCUUGUACACACCG
Molecule: ribosomal RNA, 398 nt
Filed under: Burkholderia sp. MP4
Lineage: Bacteria; Pseudomonadati; Pseudomonadota; Betaproteobacteria; Burkholderiales; Burkholderiaceae
Description: bacterial SSU rRNA
Rfam family: Bacterial small subunit ribosomal RNA
Source: RNAcentral